AAACAAAACAAAAAAAAGGAUAAAUGAGGUUAGAUUUGAAACACCAAACUCCAGGUGUCCAUACACAACAUAAUAUCCACUCAAGAUUAAAAUAGUGACAGGAAAGCCCCCAGGGUUGGAUUUCACUCCAUGAACUGAUUAUUUGUGUGUCUAUUUAUCCAUGGAGGAGGAGGAGGUCAGGAGAAAUGUCUGUGAGUCCUAACCUGGAUACCUAAUAAACCAGCACCAUACCCAGGGAUUUAAAUGCACUACGUUUGUAAAUAUCCACGUAGCAUCAGCAAAUGACCACUUGUGCCAAAACACAACAAUGGUCACAAUAGCCAGAUAAAUACCACUUUCGCUUGGAUUCUGACCGGCGGCCUCACUCUGGUUCUCAUUAGCAAGUCCCUUCCAACAGGUACAUCACCAAAGAUAAGCCAGUCUUAAAGGAUCAAACAUCGCUGUAAAUGUUUGUCUCGCUUUUUUCUCCGUAUAUUCAGUUCAGUGUUUUACUUGUGAGGGUUUAGCUGCAUGGUGCUAAUGUAGCUUUCAAAAAUGUUACACUAAAAAAAAAACAAAAAAAAAAAAAAACACUCGACAAUCCUGAGUGUGGUUACAUUUACAAGAUGUUUGGCCCUUAAUAAUUUCUCUAAGCUCUCACUGAACAUGAAGUGGAUGGAGCAAAGUUUAAAAAGAAACGAUAUAUAAUCAUACUAUUUGGAAUUUGGUGAAAUCAUUGCUCUCGUUUCCUGAGUUUUCUUUAGGAAAAUCCAUACUUUUGGUUGUUGUUGCUGCUAAUAAGUUACUACAUCUAAUCAACAAAUUCCUGGUGACUUUUUAAAAUAUAUAUAUAUAAAGAACAGUUACUAUAUCUGUGCUUUGAACAGACCUAGCGACCGGCAGUUGGAUGGAGUCUUUCUGAGUUUUCCCGGCCGCACCACAGCGGCUGCGAACCAGGGUCGCUGCGAUUCAUCAGAUGCCGCUCGCCGCAGCAUCUGAUGGUUGUUUGUGAGGAUUUAUUACCUGUUCAAAAUGGCUGGUUGUACGCGUACUGCUAAUACUCAGGAGAAGUGAUAAACUGAGACGUUGCCCGGUUACCGGAAUGGGACUCCUUCCAGCUUCGUUCUGCGUCUGCCCUGCCGGUGGGAAACUCAAACAGCAACAGUCUUAGACGCUGCGGACGUCUAAAUAUUCACUGCGGCUGCGAGAGAGACUUUUCUUUUAAGGUUUUAUUUGAAAGUAGUCUGACAGGAACCAGGGUAUGGAGAGACGGAAGACAUGCAGCGAAUGUUGCCAGGCUGGGGAUCGAACCUGCGACCACCGAUCCUACGACCACCGCCACAAGAACUAAGGCCUCCAUUCGUGGGUCGUGCUUUGCCACUGCGCCCCAGAGAGUGGGACUUUUUAAGCGAGUAACAAGAAGUCAGAAUUUGCUCAGUUUUAUCUUUCUGAGCUUUCAAGCUUUCUCUGUUACGGACUCAGUAAGGCUAGCUUUGCUAACUGUGCUAAUCGCUAGCGAGACGCCAAGCUAGUUUCACAUGUCAACUCUUGGAUCUAUUUUUUUCCUUGUACUGAAACAUUAUUAAAAACCUGUUUUGGGGGGUGUAACAUCA
Long non-coding RNA from Gambusia affinis (western mosquitofish), 1592 nucleotides. RefSeq lists it as uncharacterized. NCBI's taxonomy places the organism in Eukaryota, Metazoa, Chordata, Actinopteri, Cyprinodontiformes, Poeciliidae. The transcript is spliced from 2 exons. The record is from RefSeq and is a predicted model, not a curated record.